Molecule: long non-coding RNA, 1735 nt
Filed under: Homo sapiens (human)
Lineage: Eukaryota; Metazoa; Chordata; Mammalia; Primates; Hominidae
Description: HSALNT0023475
Source: RNAcentral
GAUGUAUCCAAUGGGAAAACCAAUUUGGAAAUGACAGGGCUGGCAGCUGCCUCCUCACUGAAAUCUGGGAAAUCAGAGAAUCGAAUCAAUUGAAGAACUCUUAGACUUUACUUUGGUUUUGUAAGUUCUGGGUUCAAAUUCCCUUUCAUAUUGUAGAUAGAGUUAGACAACUACUAAUUUGUGGCCAUAUUACAACUGAUUAGGGUAGAGGGUUAGUCUCUGAUUGUAACCAGCUACCUUGGAAAGGCCACGCCAACUCUUUUAGGUCACUUAGCUUUCAUCAGUGCCCGAAGGGGAAGUUUCUACCAAGCAGAUGGCAUAUGGAAACCUGUCAAGCACAAUGCCUGCUGUGGGAGCCACCUUCUCCAACUGACACCGCCUGACCCCAGCUUCCAGCUCACUCCCCGCUCUGUGAAGGAAGCAGCUCCAGCCUCUCUCUCAUCGGAUGGUGAAGAUACUUCCCUAAAGCUCCCAUCCGACCACAUCAUUCCUCUGCUCAGAUCCUUUGAUGGAUGCUUGUAAGAGGAAAGAUGGUUCCUGUUUAUUCACCAGAUAGGGUUCCAGGGGUGAUGCCAAGUGCCUGAUGGAAAGACGAAUGUCAAGGAGCCUGCAGGCCACUCAGCAGCAAGGCAGGAAUGCAUCGUGGAGGCAGGACCAUGACCUCUGUUGGGGAGCAGAUGCUGGAGAACAGCUCCGACUCCUCCCAGCACUGAUGCUGCCUUCCCACGAGCACCUGUGGAUUCCUCCCAGCCUGGCUCCUGCUUUGACUGCAGGAUUUGCUCCGUCUCCUCUCCAAUGAUGCCUCCAUCUUUGCUCAGGUCUGAAUUCUCAUUACCCUUCCCUCCAGCCCCCAGCUCAGACAUGAUCUCCUUUCUGGCUUCUCCUGAGGUUUAAUAGCUGUCCGUCCUCUCCCUGCCCCAGACAUUUCCUGAUAUGACCAGGCAGAACUCCCCAGCUGCUCUUCCAGGAGAGAAGCUCUGUCAAUCCAUCAUGAUAACCUCUCAGUGUCUCGCACAGCGUGGGCUUCAAUUCAUAUAUGUGGAAAUUGGGCAAAAAUUGAGAAAGUCCCCGUGGAAAGAGUUGUCUGAGGAGGUGACAAAGGAAGGCUUAAUAUAAUAGAGCUCCCCUUCCCAGGGGUUAUGUUACAAGACUCCCCAGUGGAUGCAUGGAACCUCAGAUCGUACCGAACCCUAUUGUCUGAGUCUGUUCUUGUUGCUCUAAAGGAAUACAGAAGGCUGGCAAUUUAUAAAGGAAAGUGGCUUCUUUGGCUCAUGAUUCUGAUGGCUGGAAAAUGUCAAGAUCGGGCAUUAGCAUCUGGCAAGGACCACGGGCUGCUUCCACUCUCAGUAGAAGGUGAAGGGAGCCAGUGAGUGCAGAAGUUAUGCCCGAGAGAGGAGGCAAGGGAGAGAGGGGAGGUGCCAGGCUCUUUUUAACAGCCAGCUCUCAAGGGAACUAACAGAGCAAGAACUCCCCACUCUCUCAGGGGAGGGCAUUAAUCUAUUCCCGAGGGAUUCGCCCCCAUGACCCAAGCACCUCCCAUUAGGCUCCACCUCCAACAUUGGGGAUCAAAUUUCAACAUGCAGUUUGCAGGACAAACAUCCUAACGAUAACGCCUACGGGCCUCUAUGUUGCUGUUUCCUCUGCACAUACAUACCUAAUACGAAGUUGAGUUAAUAAAUUGGGCACAGUAAGAGAUUAACAAUAACAAUAAAAUAGAACAAUUUAUGACAAUAUA